CCUCUCGUGGCGUAGGGGUAACGCGCUCUAACUAGAGAUCAUGGAGUGGUGAGUUCGAUUCUCACCGAGAAGA
Molecule: non-coding RNA, 73 nt
Organism: Aedes aegypti (yellow fever mosquito)
Lineage: Eukaryota; Metazoa; Arthropoda; Insecta; Diptera; Culicidae
Source: Rfam